UACGUAGGGGGCAAGCGUUGUCCGGAUUCAUUGGGCGUAAAGAGCUCGUAGGCGGUUCGCUAAGUCAGGUGUGAAAUCUCCGUGCUCAACACGGAGCGGCCACCUGAUACUGGCGUGACUCGAGUCCGGUAGGGGAGUAUGGAAUUCCCGGUGUAGCGGUGAAAUGCGCAGAUAUCGGGAGGAACACCAGUGGCGAAGGCGGUACUCUGGGCCGGAACUGACGCUGAGGAGCGAAAGCGUGGGGAGCAAACAGG
Molecule: ribosomal RNA, 254 nt
Filed under: uncultured bacterium
Lineage: Bacteria
Description: partial 16S ribosomal RNA
Rfam family: Bacterial small subunit ribosomal RNA
Source: RNAcentral